AUUGAACGCUGGCGGCAUGCUUUACACAUACAAGUCGAACGGCAGCGAGGAGAAGCUUGCUUCUCUGUCGGCGAGUGGCGAACGGGUGAGUAUAGCAUCGGAACGUGCCAAGUAGUGGGGGAUAACCAAACGAAAGUUUGGCUAAUACCGCGUAAGCUCUAAGGAGGAAAGUAGGGGACCUAAAUAAGGCCUUACGCUAUUUGAUCGGCCGAUGUCGGAUUAGCUAGUUGGUGGGGUAAUGGCUCACCGAGGCAAUGAUCCGUAGCGGGUCUGAGAGGACGAUCCGCCACACUGGGACUGAGACACGGCCCAGACUCCUACGGGAGGCAGCAGUGGGGAAUUUUGGACAAUGGGGGAAACCCUGAUCCAGCCAUGCCGCGUGUAUGAAGAAGGCCUUAGGGUUGUAAAGUACUUUUGUUAGGGAAGAAAAGCUAGUUUUUAAUAAAAAUUAGUGAUGACGGUACCUAAAGAAUAAGCACCGGCUAACUACGUG
This 493-nucleotide ribosomal RNA is filed under the name uncultured bacterium. RNAcentral describes it as "partial 16S ribosomal RNA". It matches the Rfam family "Bacterial small subunit ribosomal RNA", at positions 30 to 507 of the family's 1533-position model. The record is from RNAcentral.